GUUUUUUCUUCCUUUUUUUGAGGACUAGAGUUAUGGGCUUGGUAAAGUCUUGAAAUUACUGGAAGCACUAAGAUCAGCACGGAAUGCUAGCAGCUCCAAGGAAUAAUGUGUCUGAAGAAUGUAUGCUCUGUUGAAAUGUGUUAAAGGGUGUCUACCGUAUACUUCAGCUGUGUAUAAAGUACGUGCUUCUUUUUAGUAAUCAGCUGUGUGCCUUAGCCAGAACUUCAGUCUGCUGCUUUAUGAGUUUUCUGGCAAUUUUUUAAUUAUUAGAUUUGUAAGUCUUUUCUCCUAAAGUGAGGAAGAAAGAAAUAAAAAUCUUUUUCAUUAAUUUCCAUUUUCCCCACAGAACUGAAGUUAUCGGUUCUUCUCAACAUUCACAGCAAGUCUACCAGUAUCUCCAGCUUGAAGAGAAGUAUGUUUGUAGGGCCUGUAUUUACCAGGCUUGUUUAUUUUGUUGUUACUGUUGUUGAAUCUCUUACAGAGAAACAGAAAGGGUACAACAAGAAACCACAAGAAAAUGCCUUAGCACAGGCAAAGCAACUCCGGUAGAUUGUCCUUGGAAGAGCACCUUAGGAGCUGAGACCUUGCUAGAGGAGAUCUUCAGGCUGAAAAAAGACCUGUUUCUCCUGUUGUCUGACUUCCAAUUGCUAAGCAGAGAUGAACAAAGACCAAUUUGCAAGAGGAUGGAAAGGAAGAAAUGAACAACUUGGGUUUAAAAAAGAAGGUAUGCAACUAUGACUACGUGCACAUCUAGGGAAGAAGACAAUAGUUUACAGCCACAGAAAAAGACUGGAAGAACUGCGAGAGCAUGCUACCUGAGUUGGUGCUGCACAACAAGGGAUCACGUUUAUCCAUCUUACGUAAUGCAAGAAUAGAAACUAUCAUGAGGAUUACUGAGGUAUUGCACAAAUUAUAUUUUACUUUGUAAGUAGAUAAAAUAUGGAGAGCUUUGUCUUUCCAUUUUCCUAUAUGUCACACAAAAAUUAAGUAUGUUUUUUACAAGAUUGUUUCUAUUUUUGAAUUUGAAUGUGGACUAAGAUAAAGAACAAAAAAAAUUAGCAUCAAAGGAAGUGAUAGCUAAUUAUCUGGGUUUCCUAAAGCUUAGAAGAAAUAGAAAUUUCUUUUUAAGAUAUCAUAGUUUUAGAAAGAAGGAAGAAGCUGGAAAACAGCCAUACACGUGACAUAAUUCCCUCAAAGACUGGAGAGUGUCCAGAUAGGAACAUCAAGAGGCUUUUAGUGCUGUUAAAUUAGAAUCAAUUUCCCUUGUGGGAGGGGGCUAAUUUGCAGAUAGAAAAGAAAAACAAGCUGCAGUGGAAAUUAUACCUACUAGGUAUGGUAUAGUGAGUUACUGAAUUUCUCCAUUUCUAACCUUUCUCAAGAUACCAAUGCUAUGAAAUAAAAACAACUUUAAUUAAACA
This 1418-nucleotide long non-coding RNA is filed under the name Anser cygnoides (Swan goose). RNAcentral's name for it is "lncRNA (ENSACDG00005001565.1)". The record is from RNAcentral. Lineage: Eukaryota; Metazoa; Chordata; Aves; Anseriformes; Anatidae.